Non-coding RNA from Anas platyrhynchos (mallard), 1437 nucleotides. NCBI's taxonomy places the organism in Eukaryota, Metazoa, Chordata, Aves, Anseriformes, Anatidae. The record is from RefSeq and is a predicted model, not a curated record.
AGUGAGAGUCUUUUUUUUUUUUUUUUUUCCCCUCCAGGUUUGUGGGGUUGUUUUGGUAUAUUUAUUUAUAGGCUCCUACAAACUUUCCAAUAAUAUUUUGAACACCUGCAGAGCAAACACAAGCCUGCAGGCUUGCUUUCUUAUGUCCUGCAUUCUCCUUAGAGUAAUUCAUACAUCUUGGAUUUGAUUCAGAAGUUACUCUCUCCUUCCUGAACAUCUGUAGCCCACAGCUGGGUGCAUUCCUGUAUGCUUCGAAAUUAGGGGAAGAAAGCUCAGCUCACCAAAGCUGGUAUGAUGAGAGAAGCACACCUGGCAUUUGCCUUUAACAGCUGUGGACUCCUGGGCUGCAUGAGGUUUUCAUGAACAGGCACUCAUGCAACUUAAAUUCUUGAUCCUUUCUCAUUGUGGAUUUAAAGCAAUGAUGUAUGUCAAACUCUUCUGAAUCCUUCCCUCUCUUCUAAUGUGGCACAGUGAGAUAUUGUAUGCAAUAAAAAGAUGGAAACAGGCCUUCAAAUUGUGCUUUUCAGACUGCUGCAAAAGCUAUCUAUAUAGACUAGACAAAGAGGAGAGACUCAUUUGCUCAUGAGCUGAAAGCUCUCUGUGCCUGAGUGUGUUCCAUCUCAAGAAGGUUGUGAGGAGAAAUUAAAAUGCUUUCACACAUUCUGCCUAAUGUGCCCCUGAGAGGAUAGCAUCUGUGCAUGCCAUCUCUAGGAUUUGGAAAGGAAGGAAGUGUUCUGUUCCAAGGACAAGCAGAUGCUAUGUUGAUUGUACCUGGAUGGUCAUGUGAACAAAUAACAACUUCCAAAACAAAUUUCAGUCUCCAAAUCCACUGGAAGAAGGCAAUAAAGAGAACUUUGAGACCUGAAAACAUGUUUUUUCAUCUCUGCUAUAUAUGUAUACUAGCAGUUUCCAAUGCUUAUCCAGCUUAAUCUGUGCAAUGAAGGACAGAAGAAUACAGAAAAGGAAAGUCUUUGGGUUAUGCAGAGCACUAGUCAGGCCCUUUGCAUGAACAAAAGCAGAUACUGUUCCAGUUUAUGCAGAUUAUUUUCUAUUAAUUGGUGUGUUGCACAAUGAAAGAAUACCUGACUGAAAUUACUUUGGAUGUCUCCCAUAUAUGAACUGAACUUUGGCACAGGGACUGUUAUGAUGGCUUAUUUCUCCAGUAGGAAUCCCUCACUGGUAGAUUUAGGGUUGUUUUUUCUGAGUGAAUGAGUGAAGUGGGUUUCAAAUAUCGCUCAAUAAAUCCUCUUCUCCCCAAGCCUUGUGUCCUUCAAUAUUCUUCAAGCAAGUCUGAUGUUUUUUCCAAUUUUGAUUAUAGCAUUAUAACUCUGAGUAGAGAAGUUGAAUGUACAGUCACUUCUAAAUAGCAUCAGUAAUGCUGGUAGUUGACAUGUUACACUAAAAUACUUUCCUAUUUGGGAAAAAAAAAAAAAAAAA